RNAcentral lists this ribosomal RNA (1411 nucleotides) under Incilius coniferus (green climbing toad). RNAcentral describes it as "partial 16S ribosomal RNA". It matches the Rfam family "Bacterial large subunit ribosomal RNA", at positions 378 to 2580 of the family's 2925-position model. The record is from RNAcentral. Lineage: Eukaryota; Metazoa; Chordata; Amphibia; Anura; Bufonidae.
GCCAAAAACCUAGCCCAACUAACAAGAAUUCAACCAAAUUAAUUAACCCGACUUAAUAAAUCAUUUUAAUAUUUUAGUAAAGGAGAUUGAAAAACUAUUGGAGCUAUAAUUAUAGUACCGCAAGGGAAAGAUGAAAUAUUUAAUGAAAAAAUUUUAAGCAAUAAAAAGUAAAGAUUACCUCUUGUACCUUUUGCAUCAUGGUUUAACUAGUCUAAUCAAGCAAAACGUAUUUUAGUUUGACUUCCCGAAACUAAGUGAGCUACUUCAGGGCAGCUAAAAGAGCGAACCCGUCUCUGUAGCAAAAGAGUGGGAUGACCCCCAAGUAGCGGUGACAGACCUAACGAACUUAGUGAUAGCUGGUUACUCAAAAAAUGGAUCUAAGUCCAACCUGAAACACAAUUGUAGUACACCAAAACAACCACCUGAAUUUCAGAGUAAUUCAAAUAAGGUACAGCCUAUUUGAAAAAGGAUACAACCUAGACUAAUGGAUAAGACUAGCUCUUCUACACAAUCAAGUGGGCCUAAAAGCAGCCAUCUUUAAAAUAGCGUCAAAGCUUAAUUGUUCUAAUGCUUAAUUACCAAAUUUUUAUCUUAAUCCUUUAUUAUUAUUGAGUAAUUCUAUAUUAUUAUAGAAAAUUUUAUGUUAAAACUAGUAACAAGAAGAAGACUCUUCUCUUUAAUGCAAGUAUAAAUCAGAAAGGACAAACCACUGAUACUUACCGUCAUUGAGCCAAAAGUAAAAACCUACCAAGAAAACUCUACUCUCAACAACGUUAACCUAACACAAGAGCAUUUCAAGAAAGAUUAAAAGAAAAAGAAGGAACUCGGCAAAUAUUAACCUCGCCUGUUUACCAAAAACAUCGCCUCUUGAAUACUUAUAAGAGGUCCAGCCUGCCCAGUGACCAUGUUCAACGGCCGCGGUAUCCUAACCGUGCGAAGGUAGCGUAAUCACUUGUUCUUUAAAUGUGGACUAGUAUGAACGGCACCACGAGGGUUAUGCUGUCUCCUUUUUCUAAUCAGUGAAACUAAUCUCCCCGUGAAGAAGCGGGAAUAAGACUAUAAGACGAGAAGACCCUAUGGAGCUUUAAACAACAUAGCACUUGCCACACAACAUAAAAAUUUCCGAAAAUUUUAAUUAAUUUUGACAACUUGACUAUAAGUUUUUGGUUGGGGUGACCACGGAGCAUAAAAUAACCUCCACGAUGAAUAGAAUUAUUUCUAAACUAAGACCUUCAGGUCUAAGUAUCAAUAUAUUGACAUCCAUUGAUCCAAUAUAUUUGAACAACGAACCAAGUUACCCUAGGGAUAACAGCGCAAUCCACUUCAAGAGCUCCUAUCGACAAGUGGGUUUACGACCUCGAUGUUGGAUCAGGGUAUCCCAGUGGUGCAGCCGCUACUAAAGGUUCGUUGU